Molecule: ribosomal RNA, 497 nt
Filed under: uncultured bacterium
Lineage: Bacteria
Description: partial 16S ribosomal RNA
Rfam family: Bacterial small subunit ribosomal RNA
Source: RNAcentral
GAUGAACGCUGGCGGCGUGCCUAAUACAUGCAAGUCGAGCGAACGGACGAGAAGCUUGCUUCUCUGAUGUUAGCGGCGGACGGGUGAGUAACACGUGGAUAACCUACCUAUAAGACUGGGAUAACUUCGGGAAACCGUAGCUAAUACCGGAUAAUAUUUUGAACCGCAUGGUUCAAAAGUGAAAGACGGUCUUGCUGUCACUUAUAGAUGGAUCCGCGCUGCAUUAGCUAGUUGGUAAGGUAACGGCUUACCAAGGCAACGAUGCAUAGCCGACCUGAGAGGGGGGGAGGCCAGCCGGGGACAGAGACGCGGUACAGACGACGACGGGAGGCAGCAGUAGGGAAUCUUCGGAGAUGGGCGAAAGACUGAAGGAGCAAAGAAGGGUGAGUGAUGAAGGUCUUCGGAUAGUAAAAAUAUGUUAUUAGGGAAGAACAUAUGUGGAAGGAACUGUGCCCAGCUUGAAGGUACCGAAUCAGAAAGCAACGGCUAACUACGUG